UAGCUGGGUCAUACAGCAGGGUUUUGUUUGUUUCUUUGUUUUGUUUUUGAGACAGGGUCUCACUGUAUCGCCCAGGCUA
Molecule: microRNA precursor, 79 nt
Filed under: Callithrix jacchus (white-tufted-ear marmoset)
Lineage: Eukaryota; Metazoa; Chordata; Mammalia; Primates; Cebidae
Description: microRNA cja-mir-4512 precursor
Source: miRBase by way of RNAcentral